AGGUUAUGGGGUGCCAGCUGAACCUGCAGGCCCUGCUGUUAUGGGGCAGCUAUGGGGCACUUAUGGGGCACUUAUGGGGCAGGUGGCUAUGGGGCGGCCAUGGGGCACUUAUGGGGCCGCCCCACUCUCUACAGCACAGCGUCCGGAGGCUCGGAGCGCGGCUGGCGGGCGCUGAAGCUGCUGGCGCUGCUGUACCUGGCGGCGCUGCUGGGCUGCACGGCGCUGCUGAACUUCUCGCUGGGUUUCAUCAUGGCCGCCACCAUGGUGCCCGCCGC
Molecule: long non-coding RNA, 275 nt
Filed under: Phasianus colchicus (ring-necked pheasant)
Lineage: Eukaryota; Metazoa; Chordata; Aves; Galliformes; Phasianidae
Description: lncRNA (ENSPCLG00000015312.1)
Source: RNAcentral